UCCUCAGUAGCUCAGCGGUAGAGCGUUCGGCUGUUAACCGAAUGGUCGUUGGUUCAAGUCCAACCUGGGGAG
Molecule: transfer RNA, 72 nt
Filed under: Rhizochromulina marina
Lineage: Eukaryota; Dictyochophyceae; Rhizochromulinales
Description: tRNA-Asn
Rfam family: tRNA
About the family: Transfer RNA (tRNA) molecules are approximately 80 nucleotides in length.
Source: RNAcentral